Non-coding RNA from Macaca mulatta (Rhesus monkey), 2251 nucleotides. The record is from RefSeq and is a predicted model, not a curated record. Lineage: Eukaryota; Metazoa; Chordata; Mammalia; Primates; Cercopithecidae.
CUCCUGUAGAUUAGCUGCUGUUGGCAUCCAUUUUAGGAGGCACUCGUGCCGCUCAGAGGAUAAAGAUAAUUCAGGGCUCAGUUUCAAUAAAUAAUACAUAGUCUCAGGUACAAUGAGUACCUGUAAGUACCUUCUGCGCAGCCUCACGACGUAGGUUAUCGCUCUCCCUGCAGUUCCAGAAGCUCACUGCGCACCUGUUGUUGAUGAAACCGCUCCGUGAAAGGCUGGUAUCCUAACAACCAGGAACAUUUGUUUAUAAGAUAGCUAUGGAGCACAGCUGUCAGAGUGAAAUCCUGGCUGACUGACUGACUGCAUAAAAUGCCAUGAGAAACACCUGUCUCAUCAAGGACAUUAAAAAGAUAUUCACCAGAACUGUGUCUGUUCAGACCUGUGGUUCCAACAAGAAGAAAUUCCAACAAGAAGAAGAAAUUCCAACAAGAAGAAGAAAUAAAUGAUUUUCUUUCUUUUGAGCAUUCCUCAAAUGUUAUGUUGCCAUUCACCAGCUUCUCUAGAGUUGAGGAUGAACUCAUGACCACUUGAAGGAAUAGCAAUAUGGCAAGACAUUGAAUAUGUCAUAUGUAGAUGAGGACAAAUAGGAAGAAAAAAAUGGAUACACGAGAAUGUGGUAUUACAGAAGUGAAGUGAAAAGUGUUUUAGACAGUGGGAUGGGGCCAUGUCCAAGAGAUGUGACCAUGUGACCAUCAUGAGUGGUGUGUAUCUUUAGUGGAGGAUGAUAACUCAGUAGGCUAGCACAAAUUAAUGGAAAUAUCUCUUAAGAUGAUGUAAAUUCACCUGCUUAGAUCUCAUAUAUUCCUUCUGACCUUCAUUUACUUAGGAAAUCUGCCAGCAACCAAGGCAUUUCCACAGUGCAAAUCAAUUCAGUAGGACUUGAUCACCCUUCAUGAAACAGGUUCUUAUCAUGCAAAGCAAAGGACUUAACCCUAACCCACAGUUAAGCACCUCCACAUAUAACAUCCCAUGAAGUCCAGACCUAAAGAACCAGCCAGACCUUGCCCUUCUUUAUUCAAAAAUACUGUGAGUACACAUGACAAUUUGUCAAUCAACAGACUCCUCAAUUUAUGAAUUAAUUUUGCUCAAUGCAUUUCAGGUUGAGUGUUUUCUAGUGAGCUAGGAGAUAACAUAUAAUUAAAUUUUAUAAGCCUUUCUAGAAAAAGGUGAAAGAGAAAUUAAUUUUAAGGCAUUUGUCACAUUAAAUAUGUAUUAUUAAAUUAAAACAUACUUAUGACAACAUAUAUAAUGAUGUAAAAGGUAAAAUCCUGCCUGUUCCUCUAUAAUCUCAUUUUCAUGUAUAUAUUGGUAAAGUCUUUUAGACCUCUACUCAUGCAAACACCAAUAUAAAUGCAAACACAUGUAGAAUAAAUGCAAUCAUACUAUCUACAUUGCUCUAUGUCUUAAUUUUUAUAUAACAUAUUCUCAGAAUAUAAACCUCCUUCUACGUCAGUCUAUACAAAUCUAGCCUUUUCUCUUUAAUGCCUAUAUGCUAUUUCCUACUAUAGGUGGUAUACCAUUUAUUUAUUCCUAUUGUCAGAUAAUCCUGUUAUGUCAAACACAUUUUAAUGUUCUAGAAACUCAUAUAUUUCCACCACUAGACUUUUCUGAGAACAGAGAUGAAAGGUUCAAUUCCUCUCUACAUUUCUAACUCUCAGAAUAGCCUUGGGCAAAGAGCAGGGACUCAGUAAUUGCUUCAUGAAUGAACAGUUAGAUGAUGACCAUUACAGCCCUACAUAACUCAAUACGCUUUACAAGAGCUUUCUUUAAAACAAUGAAGGCAUCCUUCUAAAAGGGACUGCUCUUUUUCAGUGUUGGAGAAGUUGUGCUCAGAUGCAGAGGGAGGUGGGAAUAAAUCACAAUUAAAACACAUUUACUUGAGUAUUUACUAUGUGCCAAGUGUUUUCAUAGUUUAACACAUUUAAUAAUCAUAGAAAACUUAAGAGUAAGACUCUAUUAUUAUCCUUGUUUCAUAGAAAGGGAAGUUGAGGCACGGAGUGAUGGAGUGACAUGCAAGAGCUUCUCCAGUGUGCAAAGGCUGGGACCCUGCCCAGAAGUGUCAUUCGCACAUGAAGCUGCCUCUCCAAUGGGAAGAAAAAGUGAUCAGUGUUAACUGGGGACGUGCUGGGAGGUGCUAAGGCAACCAGAGGGGCCCAUGCCCCUGAACAUGCACCAACAAGCUCAUUCUCUACACAUGCCCAGAGGUUGCCAACCACCAACUUAAUUUCAUUUUCCCGCCUCU